RNAcentral lists this ribosomal RNA (742 nucleotides) under Bacillus tequilensis. RNAcentral's name for it is "bacterial SSU rRNA". It matches the Rfam family "Bacterial small subunit ribosomal RNA", at positions 71 to 797 of the family's 1533-position model. Lineage: Bacteria; Bacillati; Bacillota; Bacilli; Caryophanales; Bacillaceae. The record is from RNAcentral.
GAUGGGAGCUUGCUCCCUGAUGUUAGCGGCGGACGGGUGAGUAACACGUGGGUAACCUGCCUGUAAGACUGGGAUAACUCCGGGAAACCGGGGCUAAUACCGGAUGGUUGUUUGAACCGCAUGGUUCAAACAUAAAAGGUGGCUUCGGCUACCACUUACAGAUGGACCCGCGGCGCAUUAGCUAGUUGGUGAGGUAACGGCUCACCAAGGCAACGAUGCGUAGCCGACCUGAGAGGGUGAUCGGCCACACUGGGACUGAGACACGGCCCAGACUCCUACGGGAGGCAGCAGUAGGGAAUCUUCCGCAAUGGACGAAAGUCUGACGGAGCAACGCCGCGUGAGUGAUGAAGGUUUUCGGAUCGUAAAGCUCUGUUGUUAGGGAAGAACAAGUACCGUUCGAAUAGGGCGGUACCUUGACGGUACCUAACCAGAAAGCCACGGCUAACUACGUGCCAGCAGCCGCGGUAAUACGUAGGUGGCAAGCGUUGUCCGGAAUUAUUGGGCGUAAAGGGCUCGCAGGCGGUUUCUUAAGUCUGAUGUGAAAGCCCCCGGCUCAACCGGGGAGGGUCAUUGGAAACUGGGGAACUUGAGUGCAGAAGAGGAGAGUGGAAUUCCACGUGUAGCGGUGAAAUGCGUAGAGAUGUGGAGGAACACCAGUGGCGAAGGCGACUCUCUGGUCUGUAACUGACGCUGAGGAGCGAAAGCGUGGGGAGCGAACAGGAUUAGAUACCCUGGUAGUCCA